CCUACGGGAGGCAGCAGUGGGGAAUAUUGCACAAUGGGGGAAACCCUGAUGCAGCGACGCCGCGUGAGUGAAGAAGUAUUUCGGUAUGUAAAGCUCUAUCAGCAGGGAAGAAAUAGCGACAUUUGGGUCGCCAGACGGUACCUGAUUAAGAAGCCCCGGCUAACUACGUGCCAGCAGCCGCGGUAAUACGUAGGGGGCAAUCGUUAUCCGGAUUUACUGGGUGUAAAGGGAGCGGAGACGGUAGCGCAAGUCUGAAGUGAAAUGCCGGGGCUUAACCCCGGAACUGCUUUGGAAACUGUGCAGCUAGAGUGCAGGAGAGGUAAGUGGAAUUCCGAGUGUAGCGGUGAAAUGCGUAGAUAUUAGGAGGAACACCAGUGGCGAAGGCGGCUUACUGGACUGUAACUGACGUUGAGGCUCGAAAGCGUGGGGAGCAAACAGGAUUAGAUACCCCUGUAGUC
This 458-nucleotide ribosomal RNA is filed under the name uncultured bacterium. RNAcentral describes it as "partial 16S ribosomal RNA". It matches the Rfam family "Bacterial small subunit ribosomal RNA", at positions 338 to 795 of the family's 1533-position model. The record is from RNAcentral.